UACGGGGGGGGCAAGCGUUGUUCGGAAUUACUGGGCGUAAAGGGCGUGUAGGCGGCCAACUAAGUCCGACGUGAAAUCCCCAGGCUUAACCUGGGAACUGCGUCGGAUACUGGAUGGCUUGAAUCCGGGAGAGGGAUGCGGAAUUCCAGGUGUAGCGGUGAAAUGCGUAGAUAUCUGGAGGAACACCGGUGGCGAAGGCGGCAUCCUGGACCGGCAUUGACGCUGAGGCGCGAAAGCCAGGGGAGCAAACGGG
RNAcentral lists this ribosomal RNA (253 nucleotides) under uncultured bacterium. RNAcentral describes it as "partial 16S ribosomal RNA". It matches the Rfam family "Bacterial small subunit ribosomal RNA", at positions 524 to 776 of the family's 1533-position model. The record is from RNAcentral.